Molecule: long non-coding RNA, 309 nt
Organism: Daphnia pulex (common water flea)
Lineage: Eukaryota; Metazoa; Arthropoda; Branchiopoda; Diplostraca; Daphniidae
Exons: 2
Source: RefSeq, a predicted model, not a curated record
GAGGAGAAGGACUCUUGACAUUCGUUUAUGUGCCUUGUCUAUGGCAUCUGUUAGUGAUUCCAGACGUUUUAGCACCCGGGCAACAGCACUUGGACAGUGGAUUGCUGAAAGGAAAAAUACGAGUUGGUUGUGAUGGUUGUAUGAUGUUCAAGCCCAAUGAGGAGAUGGUGAUAAGUGUGCUUAAAGCUGCUACUGUCUUUGGUGGCAUAUUUCAAUGUGUUGUUCGUCUGUCAUGUCACAUCCAUGCAACAUAUAACAUAUAAGGAUAACGAAACGUAAGCAUGGAAAAUAAAUAGAAGAUUAUCAAUG